Molecule: ribosomal RNA, 18 nt
Filed under: Erica hillburttii
Lineage: Eukaryota; Viridiplantae; Streptophyta; Magnoliopsida; Ericales; Ericaceae
Description: partial 28S ribosomal RNA
Source: RNAcentral
AAUGCGACCCCAGGUCAG